GGCAGGGGCCGGAGAAGCCACUUCCCCUCACCAUACACAAGAGUGCCGUUAGCAACCCCUCCUCUGGAAAAAGCCUCUCUAAAGCAUGAUCUUCCUGUUUCUUCUAGUCCUUAUUUUGAAUGUACUGUGCUGUGCCAGCUAGGUGCUAGCGCCAUGCUAGGGAAUUACUGCUGGCAAACGGGAGCCUUCUCUACCCUUAUGGAGCUUACGAGCCAAUACAGGAAACAGACUCACAAACAAGACAGAGACGGGAUGUAGACACAGCCACCAAAAAAAGAAACACACACCAGAUCGGGAGGAAGAAGACAGACGGUGAAAACAAAGAGGGGUGAGGAGAGGUACAGAGGACGGGCUCUGUCCGAGCACCCCAAGAAGACUAGCAGAGAAGGAAUCCAGACCAGAAGAGGACACCGAUGAGGAAGGGGCUCUUGGACUCUGCGAUGUGGACCAGACCAAUUUAUGCGGGU
This is a long non-coding RNA of Canis lupus familiaris (dog), 467 nucleotides long. RefSeq lists it as uncharacterized. The record is from RefSeq and is a predicted model, not a curated record. The transcript is spliced from 3 exons. NCBI's taxonomy places the organism in Eukaryota, Metazoa, Chordata, Mammalia, Carnivora, Canidae.